This 497-nucleotide ribosomal RNA is filed under the name uncultured bacterium. RNAcentral describes it as "partial 16S ribosomal RNA". It matches the Rfam family "Bacterial small subunit ribosomal RNA", at positions 28 to 507 of the family's 1533-position model. The record is from RNAcentral.
GACGAACGCUGGCGGCGUGCCUAAUACAUGCAAGUUGAGCGCUGAAGGUUGGUACUUGUACCAACUGGAUGAGCAGCGAACGGGUGAAUAACGCGUGGGGAAUCUGCCUUUGAGCGGGGGACAACAUUUGGAAACGAAUGCUAAUACCGCAUAAAAACUUUAAACACAAGUUUUAAGUUUGAAAGAUGCAAUUGCAUCACUCAAAGAUGAUCCCGCGUUGUAUUAGCUAGUUGGUGAGGUAAAGGCUCACCAAGGCGAUGAUACAUAGCCGACCUGAGAGGGUGGUCGGCCAAAUUGGGACUGAGAAACGGCCCAAACUCCUACGGGAGGCAGCAGUAGGGAAUCUUCGGCAAUAGACGAAAGUCUGACCGAGCAACGCCGCGUGAGUGAAGAAGGUUUUCGGAUCGUAAAACUCUGUUGGUAGAGAAGAACGUUGGUGAGAGUGGAAAGCUCAUCAAGUGACGGUAACUACCCAGAAAGGGACGGCUAACUACGUG